Molecule: ribosomal RNA, 1097 nt
Filed under: uncultured bacterium
Lineage: Bacteria
Description: bacterial SSU rRNA
Rfam family: Bacterial small subunit ribosomal RNA
Source: RNAcentral
AGUCGAGAAUAUUGGACAAUGGGGGAAACCCUGAUCCAGCGACGCCGCGUGCUCGAAGAAGCCCUUCGGGGUGUAAAGAGCUUUUCUGGGGGAAGAAGUUUCGAUUGACAGUACUCCAGGAAUAAGGGGGUGCUAAUCACGUGCCAGCAGCCGCGGUAAUACGUGACCCCCGAGCGUUAUCCGGAUUUAUUGGGCGUAAAGCGUCUGUAGACGAUUUGGAAAGUCUUUGGUUAAAUACCAAGAGCUUAACUUUUGGGCUGCCAGAGAUACUUCCAGAAUAGAGGGCGUUAGAGGCUGAUGGAACGGUCGGUGUAGAGGUGAAAUUCGUUGAUAUCGACCGGAACACCGAAAGCGAAGGCAUUCAGCUGGGGCGACCCUGACGUUGAGAGACGAAAGCGUGGGGAGCAAAAAGGAUUAGAUACCCUUGUAGUCCACGCUGUAAACGAUGGACACUGGCUAUUUGAAGUGUCGACCCUUCAAGUGGCGAAGCUAACGCGUUAAGUGUCCCGCCUGGGAAGUACGGCGGCAACGCUAAAACUCAAAGGAAUAGACGGGGCUUCACACAAGCGGUGGACCAUGUGGCUUAAUUCGACAACAAGCGAAGAACCUUACCAGGGCUUGACAGGCUAGUGAAAAUCUUCCGAAAAGAAGAUCUACCCACAAGGACACUAGCCCAGGUGCUGCAUGGUUGUCGUCAGCAUGUGUUUUGAAAUGCACGCUUAAAUGCGGUAACAUGCGCAACCCUUACCCUAUGUUUUAUUUGUCAUAGGGAACUGCCUGGGAUGACCAGGAGGAAGGUGAGGAUGACGCCAAAUCAGCAUGGCCCUUUGAUGCCCUGGGCUGCACACGUGGUACAAUGGGGCUGACAAUGGGUUGCCAAGGCGCAAGCCGGAGCUAAUCCCAUCAAACAGCCUCUUAGUUCGGAUUGAGGUCUGCAACUCGACCUCAUGAAGCCGGAAUCGCUAGUAAUCGCCAAUCAGCCACGUGGCGAUGAAUAUGUUCCUGAAGCUUGUACUCACCGCCCGUCACAUUAAGGGAGCCGGCAGUAGCCGAAGUUCCGAGCAAUCGGACCUAAGCUAAGGUCGGUAACAAGAAUG